RNAcentral lists this long non-coding RNA (1630 nucleotides) under Homo sapiens (human). Its description in RNAcentral is "HSALNT0205436". The record is from RNAcentral. Lineage: Eukaryota; Metazoa; Chordata; Mammalia; Primates; Hominidae.
CCUGGGCAAACCCAGAGAGCAGCAGGGGGAUUACCUGCUGACAAGUACAGCAAGGGUGAGCAGAUUGCCCUGUGAUAAAAGCCGCUCAAUUGCAUCAUCUCUCCAGCAAGGGGAAACCAGCUCUAAGGCAGCCAUCUAGUUGCAAGCUAAGCUGCAAAAUGUGCGCUGCGACAGACUGAAGCAGAUAAAGAACAAAUUUGCAUGUUACUGGGUUGCAAGAGCCCUUUGAUUGUUGGAGAGGCCCGAUAAUGCUGUCAAGAGCUCGGUGGACUGAGCGGCGGCCGAGACGCACCAGAUCUGCACUAAGUGUAGCUGACAGCAAACGAUUUAGAGUCAGCACGGAAUCAAAGCGUUGGAAAUAUCUCAAGUAAAAAUGUUAAAAACACAAAGAAGCCUGCAUCUUGAUAAGAGGACAUCAGUGAGGAGAGAUAUGCACAGAAAGAAAGAAAAUGACCUUGAGUUUAUAAAAAUGCUACACGUCUCGGAAUUGUAAAAUGCCUAAAAUGAAAAGAAAAUGGGCAGCUCAAAUCAGACUUCAAGCUAGGAAAGCCUGAAAGUUGUGUGCUUGCCACAGUUGAAGAAGAGAAAAAGAAGCAAUAGCUAACUGCACGGAUUAUUAUAGAGAUUACGCUUCUGUUUUCGAGACCAGUCAUUUGCUCGUACAAAUGAGCCUAAUGACUUAAAGCACCAAGACAUACAUGUCUCUGCUGUGCACACCUCCUUGACAUGAAAUGCAAGACUCAAAAUACAAAAAUAAUUUUAGGAAGGAAAAACUGAUUAGUGGCAAUGAUCAAGACAAAUCUUGCUAUUUGAAAAAACAAAUAAAAAUACUGGAAAUGAAACCUUAAGUAGUAUUAUUAAAUAAUAAUAUCAGGGUGGGGCACGGUGGCUCACGCCUAUAUUUCCAGCACUUCGGGAGGUCCAGGCAAGUGGAUCACCUGAGGUCGAGAGCUGGAGACCAGCCUGGCCAACAUGGCAAAACCCCAUCUCUACUUAAAGUACAAAAAUUAGCAUGGCAUGGUGGUGUGCACCUGUAGUCCCAGCUACUCAGGAGGCUGAGGCUGGAGAAUCGCUCGAACUCAGGAGGUGGAGCCUGCAGUGAGUCAAGAUCUCGCCGCUGCACUCCAGCCUGGGCAACAGAGUGAGACUCCAUCUCAAAAAAUAAUAAUAAUAAUUUAAAAUAAUAAUACAUUUGCCGCAUUGGAAAAUAGGUCUUCAGCAAAGUAUGCUAUAUAGUGUAUCAGUAGGGAGUAAGCUAAUGGUUCUUCUCCAGGAAAGACUGCAUCUUCUGUCAGCAUUUGAUGUGAUUCAAAUCAGACUCUUCAGUUUCUUCACUUAUGUUUUUCCCUUUCCUUUCUCUCCAUAAAAACAAUGACUAUCACCAGGUCUGUAAUCUUCUUCCAGAGAGAACCACCAGAAAAGAAGAGCAGGUAGACAUAGCUGGAAAAUCGAAGCCCCAAUUUUCUGACAAACAAAACUAGCCAGAAUAAGCAAAUAAAUUACAUGUGCACGUGUUUCUCUUUAGUCUUUACCUGUGUAUUUCCCUAGAGGGGAAAGGUUUAUAAAAACUAGAAAGAGGCCAUGUUUUCUUUAUCACUUGAGUUUAUCAAUCACCUAACAUAAAGCCACC